This 251-nucleotide ribosomal RNA is filed under the name uncultured bacterium. Its description in RNAcentral is "partial 16S ribosomal RNA". It matches the Rfam family "Bacterial small subunit ribosomal RNA", at positions 525 to 775 of the family's 1533-position model. The record is from RNAcentral.
ACGUAGGUGGCAAGCGUUAUCCGGAAUUACUGGGUGUAAAGGGAGCGCAGGCGGGAUAGCAAGUCAGUUGUGAAAACUAUGGGCUCAACCCAUAGAUUGCAGUUGAAACUGUUAUUCUUGAGUGGAGUAGAGGCAAGCGGAAUUCCGAGUGUAGCGGUGAAAUGCGUAGAUAUUCGGAGGAACACCAGUGGCGAAGGCGGCUUGCUGGGCUCUAACUGACGCUGAGGCUCGAAAGUGUGGGGAGCAAACAG